AAGUCGUAACAAGGUAUCCGUAGGUGAACCUGCGGAUGGAUCAUUAAGAGGUUAGCAAACAGCCCUGUUUGACAAACCACUGUGGUGCGAUGCAUGUUGUUUUGGCGGCGUGGUGUGCGUGCAAGCGCGCAUGCGCCGCCAGCAUACAAACCCAAUCAACCAAUUUUAUACUACUCAGCUGUUCUGAUUACACUAUUUCGAUAGCAUAAUCCUAUACAACUGCUAGCAACGGAUCACUCGGCUCUC
RNAcentral lists this unclassified non-coding RNA (246 nucleotides) under fungal sp. RNAcentral's name for it is "partial internal transcribed spacer region". The stretch from base 1 to 46 matches the Rfam family "Eukaryotic small subunit ribosomal RNA", at positions 1786 to 1831 of the family's 1831-position model. The record is from RNAcentral. Lineage: Eukaryota; Fungi.